UACUGCUCAAGCACGCGGUCAGUCCCCUC
This 29-nucleotide small RNA is filed under the name Bombyx mori (domestic silkworm). RNAcentral describes it as "ovarian small RNA-21506". The record is from RNAcentral. Lineage: Eukaryota; Metazoa; Arthropoda; Insecta; Lepidoptera; Bombycidae.